This 460-nucleotide ribosomal RNA is filed under the name uncultured bacterium. RNAcentral's name for it is "partial 16S ribosomal RNA". It matches the Rfam family "Bacterial small subunit ribosomal RNA", at positions 338 to 795 of the family's 1533-position model. The record is from RNAcentral.
CCUACGGGAGGCAGCAGUGAGGAAUAUUGGUCAAUGGGCGGGAGCCUGAACCAGCCAAGUCGCGUGAGGGAAGACGGUCCUAUGGAUUGUAAACCUCUUUAGGCGGGGAGCAAUGCCGGGCACGCGUGCCCGGAGGGAGAGUACCCGCAGAAUAAACAUCGGCUAAAUCCGUGCCAGCAGCCGCGGUAAUACGGAGGAUGCGAGCGGUAUCCGGAUUUAGUGGGUUUAAAGGGUGCGUAGGCGGAUUUUUAAGUCAGCGGUAAAAUGUCCGGGCUCAACCCGGGCCGGCCGUUGAAACUGGGGAUCUUGAGUGGGCGAGAAGUAUGCGGAAUGCGUGGUGUAGCGGUGAAAUGCAUAGAUAUCACGCAGAACUCCGAUUGCGAAGGCAGCAUACCGGCGCCCGACUGACGCUGAGGCACGAAAGCGUGGGGAUCGAACAGGAUUAGAUACCCCAGUAGUC